UUCCAGACUCCUACGGGAGGCAGCAGUGGGGAAUUUUGCGCAAUGGGGGAAACCCUGACGCAGCAACGCCGCGUGCGGGACGAAGGCCCUCGGGUUGUAAACCGCUUUCAGCAGGGAAGAUCCAAGACGGUACCUGCAGAAGAAGCCCCGGCUAACUACGUGCCAGCAGCCGCGGUAAUACGUAGGGGGCAAGCGUUAUCCGGAUUUACUGGGUGUAAAGGGAGCGUAGGUGGCAUGGCAAGCCAGAAGUGAAAACCCGGGGCUUAACCCCGCGGAUUGCUUUUGGAACUGUCAGGCUGGAGUGCAGGAGGGGCAGGCGGAAUUCCUGGUGUAGCGGUGAAAUGCGUAGAUAUCAGGAGGAACACCGGUGGCGAAGGCGGCCUGCUGGACUGCAACUGACGUUGAGGCCCGAAAGCGUGGGGAGCAAACAGGAUUAGAUACCCUUGUA
This 448-nucleotide ribosomal RNA is filed under the name uncultured bacterium. Its description in RNAcentral is "partial 16S ribosomal RNA". It matches the Rfam family "Bacterial small subunit ribosomal RNA", at positions 329 to 792 of the family's 1533-position model. The record is from RNAcentral.